GAUGAAGAACGUAGCGAAAUGCGAUAAGUAAUGUGAAUUGCAGAAUUCAGUGAAUCAUCGAAUCUUUGAACGCACAUUGCGCCCGCCAGUAUUCUGGCGGGCAUGCCUGUUCGAGCGUCAUUACAACCCUCAGGCCCCCGGGCCUGGCGUUGGGGAUCGGCGGAGCCCCCCGGGGGCACACGCCGUCCCCCAAAUGCAGUGGCGGUCCCGCCGCAGCUUCCAUCGCGUAGUAGCUAACACCUCGCGACUGGAGAGCGGCGCGGCCACGCCGUAAAACACCCAACUCUUCUGAAGUUGACCUCGAAUCAGGUAGGAAUACCCGCUGAACUUAAGCAUAUCAAUAAGCGGAGGA
This 352-nucleotide unclassified non-coding RNA is filed under the name soil metagenome. RNAcentral's name for it is "partial contains 5.8S ribosomal RNA, internal transcribed spacer 2, and large subunit ribosomal RNA". The stretch from base 1 to 120 matches the Rfam family "5.8S ribosomal RNA", at positions 35 to 154 of the family's 154-position model. The record is from RNAcentral.